GGCAGCGUGGCACAGUGCUCUGAGUGUUGGAUUAAGGCACUGAAAGGCCAGGGUUGAAAUCCCUGCUUUGCCA
Molecule: non-coding RNA, 73 nt
Organism: Phrynosoma platyrhinos (Desert horned lizard)
Lineage: Eukaryota; Metazoa; Chordata; Lepidosauria; Squamata; Phrynosomatidae
Source: the annotation of a GenBank genome assembly